RNAcentral lists this ribosomal RNA (440 nucleotides) under uncultured bacterium. RNAcentral's name for it is "partial 16S ribosomal RNA". It matches the Rfam family "Bacterial small subunit ribosomal RNA", at positions 338 to 795 of the family's 1533-position model. The record is from RNAcentral.
CCUACGGGAGGCAGCAGUAGGGAAUAUUGCUCAAUGGGGGAAACCCUGAAGCAGCAACGCCGCGUGGAGGAUGAAGGUUUUCGGAUUGUAAACUCCUUUUGUUAGAGAAGAUAUUGACGGUAUCUAACGAAUAAGCACCGGCUAAAUCCGUGCCAGCAGCCGCGGUAAUACGGAGGGUGCAAGCGUUACUCAGAAUCACUGGGCGUAAAGGGCGCGUAGGCGGGAUAGCAAGUCAGAUGUGAAAUCCUAUGGCUUAACCAUAGAACUGCAUUUGAAACUGUUGUUCUAGAGUAUGGGAGAGGUAGGUGGAAUUCUUGGUGUAGGGGUAAAAUCCGUAGAGAUCAAGAGGAAUACUCAUUGCGAAGGCGACCUGAUAGAACAUAACUGACGCUGAUGCGCGAAAGCGUGGGGAGCAAACAGGAUUAGAUACCCCAGUAGUC